UACGUAGGGUGCAAGCGUUUGUCCGGAAUUAUUGGGCGUAAAGGGCUCGUAGGCGGUCCAUCACGUCGGGAGUGAAAAGCUGGGGCUUAACCCCAGUCCUGCUUCCGAUACGGGUGGACUAGAGGUAGGCAGGGGAGAACGGAAUUCCUGGUGUAGCGGUGAAAUGCGCAGAUAUCAGGAGGAACACCGGUGGCGAAGGCGGGUCUCUGGGCAGUAACUGACGCUGAGGAGCGAAAGCGUGGGGAGCGAACAGG
This 254-nucleotide ribosomal RNA is filed under the name uncultured bacterium. RNAcentral describes it as "partial 16S ribosomal RNA". It matches the Rfam family "Bacterial small subunit ribosomal RNA", at positions 524 to 776 of the family's 1533-position model. The record is from RNAcentral.